UACACAAAUUGACUUGAAUAAUCGUUCUAAGAUGUUUGAUAUGGCAUAUUAAUAAAAUUAAUAAAACAGAUGUUACAAAAUCCCCAUCACACGGUUGAUUACGUUAACUCAUGACAAUUUCUGUAAGCCUUUAACAAAGCGAGUCAAAACCGGUACAGAGUGGGCCUCCGCAACCCACUUCGGCUUUUUGUGUCACACACGCGCAUAGUUUUCCCUUUCCCAGCUUAACAAGCGAUAGCGACGCUGUUAAAUUAAAUUUAGCGACAAACGAAUUGCUUUCUUGUCAUUCGAUAUGUAAAGACAGACCGCAAAGGGCGAGGCGCGAGCAGAAGCACAUGUUAACUUUACCGGCGGCGCCGCGGCGGAGGAUCACGGAGCCGUCGUCUACGCUGUCACUGAGGCAAAGACAAGAAGCACAUUCACUUCACAGUCGAGUGUGCAGAGUUUUAACGUCCAUCCAUUGAUGAGGCUAGCAAGACCUUCAUACAACUUCAGCCAAUUGCAACAAAUGUGGUGGAAUUUCUUCUCUGGACAGAAUCCUCGAAACCCUUUCCUUUCGUCCUGGCCAUGGGAAACAUGCAGCAGACCUCUCAAUCUUUUUUCUCAAUCAGUCUCUCUGAAUACGGAAGUGACUUAAACUGCAAUUCGGCCAAGAUGGCGACGGCACGCACCGCCUACUUUAAGCUUCAAAAAUGCUCUUCACAAACCAAUGGGUGACGUCACAGACACUUCUUGCAUAUUUUUUACAGUCUAUGGUUUAAAGGCAUUUUAAGUGCUUAAAAAAAUAAAUACCCCAGGCAAUGUGCUUCUAUGGGAAUUCCUGUAGUCUGUCAUUUUUCAAAUGGAUGAAUCCUCUCCUGUUCGAUUCCUUUGUACAUCUUUGUUCGCGACGAGUAACUUUAAUAAAUGAAGUUUUUUUGUCAAAUACAUUCCAUUCUGUGAAACUUAAAACAUUUGUUCUUUAAAAAAACUUUACACAUCUAUGAAUGAUUUUACUUUUAAUUUAACAAUUACAUUGUUUCUUUUUUACACUGCUGUAGUUUUGUUUAUGUACAUUUCAGUAUUUCAUAUAUAUACUGUAAAAUUACAAAUUCUGUCUUAAAUUCAAACGAAUUGAUUCAACCUGUUACAUUGUUACUUCAAUGUGCAUAAUUUAUGAUAUUUUAUAAAUAUAUUUAUACUUGGGUCAGUCAGCAGUCCUUUAAAUGAUUUUGCAACUUACAACUGUAAAAAUGUAAGAGUUUGUAGUUAUUUUGCAAUCAAAUAAACAUUUAUUUGCUGUUAACAAUGGUCUUGAUUUACAAUAAAGCACAUGAUAAAAAUAACCCAGCAAGAAUAACCCAAAACCCAGAAUAUUAAUCCCAUAAAUGGUUAAAAUGACUACAUGUUGGGUUUUCUCAACAACCCAACCUGCUGGGUUAAAAUGUGUUACCCAACGUGUUGGGUUACUUUAACCCAGCAUGUGUUCUGUCCAAUAUUUACCCAGCGCUGGGUUGCCAAUUGGGUUGUUUUUAACCCAACCAUU
Misgurnus anguillicaudatus (oriental weatherfish) is the source of this 1525-nucleotide non-coding RNA. The record is from RefSeq and is a predicted model, not a curated record. Lineage: Eukaryota; Metazoa; Chordata; Actinopteri; Cypriniformes; Cobitidae.